GACGAACGCUGGCGGCGUGCUUAACACAUGCAAGUCGAACGGAAAGGCCCUGCUUUUGUGGGGUGCUCGAGUGGCGAACGGGUGAGUAACACGUGAGUAACCUGUCCUUGUCUGUGGGAUAUCUUCAGGAAACUGGGGCUCUUACCGGGUAUGAUCUCCUGCUGCAUGGUGGGGGUUGGAAAGUUUCGGCGGUUGGGGAUGGACUCGCGGGUUAUCAGCUUGUUGGUGUGGUAGUUGCUUACCAAGGCUGUGACGGGUAGCCGGCAUGAGAGGGUGACCGGGCACAUGGGGCCUGAGAGACGGCCCAGACUCCAAUGGGAGGCAGCAGUGGAGAACAUGACACAGCGGCGGGAAGCCUGAGGCGGCAACGCCGGGAGCGUGAAGACGGGUUUCGGGUUGUAAACCGAUUUCGACUGUGCCGAGGAGUGAGUGACGGUAAUGGGUAAAGAAGCACCGGCUAACUACGUG
This 468-nucleotide ribosomal RNA is filed under the name uncultured bacterium. RNAcentral describes it as "partial 16S ribosomal RNA". It matches the Rfam family "Bacterial small subunit ribosomal RNA", at positions 28 to 507 of the family's 1533-position model. The record is from RNAcentral.